RNAcentral lists this long non-coding RNA (8235 nucleotides) under Lactuca sativa (garden lettuce). Its description in RNAcentral is "long non-coding RNA (LSAT_LNC010121)". The record is from RNAcentral. Lineage: Eukaryota; Viridiplantae; Streptophyta; Magnoliopsida; Asterales; Asteraceae.
GUAACAGCCCAAAAUCUCAAGUAUUGCUAAAUUGCAUUUUUGGGGUGUUUUAAAGGGGAGACUCGGCGAGUUGGAGCCAGACUCGCCGAGUAGGGUCGCAGAUUUGGCCGCGGGUUCGCGACUGGACUCGACGAGUCCAGGUAUGGACUCGGCGAGUCGACGCUGUUCAGCGGAAACCCUAGCCGUUUCGUAUUGGGUCGUAUAUAAGGGUUGUUAUGUCGUCAUUUCACGUCUUUUGGCCGAUUGUGGAGAACCCUAGACGACUGUGGCAUCUGGAGCAAAACUUGAAGGCCAUUAUUGACUUUGAAGGAAUUGUGGUGCAAGAAGAGGAAGGGUUUUGGCCAAAGGAAGAGCAAGGAGGUCGAGUUCUGAGGUUUGGGGACACAGAGAGUAUGUUUUCAGGUAAGGUUUCGGAUCAUUCCUGUUAUUUUGAUGUGUACACGAAUCUAGGGUUUAUGAAACCCAUUUGGAGAUUUGAUGGAUUAUUAUGUUGUUAUACAAAGGUUUCUACCCUAGUAAUAGGAUGAUUAGAGGUCCAGAAGUCCCAUGAGUGUGUAUCUCGGGAAAAACGUACCUCAGGAAGCAGUUGGAUCGACUGCAUGGCGUGGACUCGCCGAGUCGGAUGAUCAGACUCGGCGAGUAGCUUGAAGAUUCACUGGGACUCGCCGAGUUGUUCUUCAGACUCGGCGAGUGGAGUCGGGGUGGCCCCGCGAUUCUUCCAGGAGUGACUCGUCGAGUCAAAGAGGAUACUCGACGAGUAGAAGGGGAAUCUCAGAGGAUUGAAGGACGACCAGACUCGCCGAGUCGCCAGGGAACUCGCCGAGUCCAGUCGAGCUGACAUUGGACUGUUGACCAGAGUUGACUGGUGUGAUUUCUUAGGGGCAGUUAACGUGGAAGAUAGAAGUAUUAAAUAAGGGAUAUAUGAUGUUACAGGGAGCUUGUAGCUCGGAGGAUCAAGUGCAAGGGAUUUUAGGAGUUGCUAUCUUCCAGUGUCCGCGAGGUGAGUCUUCUCACUAUACCUCACCCGGAAGGGUUUGAUUGUGUGACCGGAAGGUCAAGUAUGUUAUGUGUUAUGUUUAUAUGCUAUAAAUGGAAAGUUAGCUGCUACGCGUGAUAUACAUGCUUAUAUAUGGGCCGGAAGGCAAGGUAUUAUGUGACAGAAAGGUCAGGUAUGAUAUAUGAUAUAUGUGCUUUAUGUGUUAGAGUAUUUGUAUUAUGUGUUAUAUAUGUGUAUGGGCCGGAAGGCAAUUAUCUUGUGGACCGAAAGGUCCGGGCCGGAAGGCAAUGUUAUGUGGAUCGAAAGAUCCGGGCCGGAAGGCAAUGUUAUGUGGAUCGAAAGAUCCGGGCCGGAAGGCAAUGUUAUGUGGAUCGAAAGAUCCGGGCCGGAAGGCAAUGUUAUGUGGACCGAAAGGUCCGGGCCGGAAGGCGUAUGUGCGUAAGGUAUAUUGGGGAACUCACUAAGCUUCGUGCUUACGUUGUUUAUGUUAUGUUGUUUCAGGUUCUUACAGUAACGCGGGAUGGCAACGGUUCGAUUGUACACACCGAAGAAAGAGUUGUGUUUUGGAGGAUCCUGGUCUUCUAUUAUAAUGAAAAUGAAACUAUGUUUUGUAAUUCGAAUGUGAAUAAGAUUUUAAACAAGUGUUUUUAAUAUUAAAUUGAUUAUUUAAAUGAAAAUUUUGUUUUUGGAAAUCACGGUGUUACAAAUUGGUAUCAGAGCCUUGGUUUGAGGGAUUCGGACGCGCCUACGGGUAAAUCUGGACUCAAACUGAGGAAGUAAGAAAAAGUUUUCCAAAUAAAUGGUUUUCUAAAAGUGAAUAAGAGUUCAAAGAGAAAGCAAGAAAGAGCAGUGUGUACAAUCAGCCAGAGCCAAACGGUGAUUUCCCAAAAUACCCUUACUUUUGUAUUAUGAAAUAUCUAUUAUGCACUUUAUGAGACAUUAUUGCAUGCUAGAGACAGGCUAGGUAUUUCACAUCUUAGGACUAGAGUGGCCUGAUUUGUGAUGCCUUAGUCUAGGGUUUGCUGUUAUAUGUGCGUUAUGCUUUUGUGUGUAUGUGAUGAGUGAGAGUAUCUAGUUAGAACGCACAAGGGGUAAAGCUACGGGGUACAGAGGUACUUCCGAGGAUGAGCCGAGAAGGUGGAGCUACCACAGAUGGGGAGUCCUAUGUAUGCUUCAAUGCUCGAAUGCUGCUUGCUUUGUGCUUUGUGGAGUUAUCGAUGAUGGGAGUCAGCUACUAAGUGAGUAUGACGAUACUCAGGAGGUAGAGGGCUGGCAUCAUUAGGAACUCUUCAGCAGCUGAUAGCAAAGAAGUGGGAGGACAGCGGAAGGGACUAGGGAGUAAACCUAGCCAGAUGAGUGCGCUGGUAGAGUAGAGGAUUUCGCUGGAAAGCGAGCACGCGCGAUGAGAUGGGUGAAAGAGCAGGUUUAUCAGCUACUUAGGAACUCUGGGAUGGUCCGUGUGGAAAGUAUGGGUAGAUGUGGCAGGUAGUAUGGGCCCGUACUACUGAAAGCAGAGGACCCAUACUUGAUACAGGGGGCAUUCUGAAGGUCCUAAGGAACAGAUUGAGGGGUGAUGUUAUGGUUCGGAUACCAUACAUCGGAGCGGAUACAGAGUGAUGUUAUGGUCAGGGCACCAUACAUCGGAACAGAUUGAGAUAGAUGUUGUGGUUCGAGUGCUAUACAUUGGAGCAGAUUGAGGAGUGGUGCUAUGGUUCAGGUACCAUACACCGAAGCAUGUUGAGGAGGGAUGUCAUGGGAUGAGUACCAUGGUUCGUAGUGGAUGAUGCUUGUGGCUAUCUUGUUAUCCGGUUAUCGAUCGGACGAGCACGAGCGAGCGGGAUGCGAGGAUUCGCGAGAUCCGGCGUGAUGAGGUUGCUGCAUUGUUGCGGGCUGAGUCGCCAGAAUUGUUUGGGUCGAUCAGGACCACUAUGAUUGAAGUAGUUUGAUGAGCGAUAUGCGGCUUUCGCAGAGACGGCUGCCGCGGCGGUUACAGCGGCUGUAGCAACGGCAAAGAAAGGGGCUAGUCGGGGUUUUCAGUAUCGGGACUUCUAUUAUGCGAAGCCUCCCACAUUCGAUGGAGUUCAGGACUCGAUUGUUGCUAUGAGAUGGUUAUCAGACAUGGAGGGGUGUUUCUCCACGAGUUUAUGCCCUGCUGAUCAGAGGGUGGGGUGUGCUCUGAACCUAUUGAGGCUCGGGGCGAAGGAUUGGUGGAGAUUGACCACGAGGUCAUUUUCCGAUGCGCAGAGGGCUGCGGUUUCAUGGGAUCAAUUCAGAGGGAUGUUCAGUACUCGCUAUGUUCCGCGGGAUGAAAAGGAGAAAUUGGCUCGGAAGUUCCUUAAGCUGAAGCAGGAUUUGGAGUCGGUGACUGAGAGCACCGGGAUGUUUAUUGAGAGGGCGAUGUUUUGCCCUGAGUUCGCUUCGGAGCAGGCUCAGAUGUCCCGAUAUCCGAGUAUGCUCAAGGGGGGGUAUCAGACAGUUCGUGUCUGCGCAGAGGCGCGAGACCGUGUUGGUAUCGCAGGAGGCCGCCAUGUGGCGUGAGUUAGAGGUUGAGUUGCAGUUGCGUGAGAUGAGGCAGGCCCCGAUGCAGUCGCAGUCGGCGCCGAAACGGUCCAUGACCGUAGACGUUAGAAUGGGGGAUCGGAGCGGUCACACUUGUGGGAAGUGUGAGAGAGAUGGCACCGGAGCUUGUUGGCCCAGUGGUGCAUGCCGCAAGUGCGGAAAGGAGGGGCAUGGUGCACGGGAUUGUCGGCAGUCAGUGCCAAUUCGGGAUUUCAGGAUUUGUUAUCAGUGUCGGCAGGUUGGACAUUUGAGGGUCAACCGUCCACAGUUUCCUGCAGGACCGGUGCAGGCUCUAGCAUCGGCCACCUUGAGGAGUUCAGGAGGAGGACAGGAUGGAGCAGAGCCCAAGGGCUCAGGGUCGUGCUUAUCGGCUUGCGGCAGAGGGAGACGGAGCAGUGCCGGAGGCAGCUGCGGGUAUGAUGCUCUCUUGAUGUCUUGAGUAGCUUGCGUUGAUUGUGGCGUAUUGUUUGUGCUGGUGUCUGGUGUGGAUUUCGAUGCGGUAUUCGUUGUUUCGCGGGUUUGGCAUGGUUAUGGAUUGGUGCUUCAGGUUUUCGCUUGGCAUUCGUUGUUCCCUGAUGGUUUAGUAUGAUUAUAGUUUGGUGUUUUGGUACCGGUAGCCUUGUGCGGUUUUCGAUGCGAUAUUCAACCUUUGGCAGGUUGUGGGUUUGGUUAUGGGUUAUUGCUUGGGAAUUCCGUUGGUCAUCGUUCGUGAGGGUUGAUAGUGGAGAUGCGGCACUGGGUUGAAUGACGGGUAGCAUCUGCAGUUGUGGAGUGGAUAAUUGAAAGAUCGGAUUCUUUUGAGCGGAUUGAUCAGGGAGGAGAUGUGUUUUGCUGAGGGUUGCUUACGCUUGUGGGAAGCAGUCAGUGGGUAAAUGUUCUCUUUGUGCAGGAUGGUUCUGAAAGGUCGUUAAUGACGAUCGGUGGCAGUUAGUCAGUGCUUUAGUGGGGGAGAAUUGUAAAAUUCUCCGGGAGAUCGAUGAGUAUGUAAGGGUGCUUAGCUGUUGGGAUUCAGCAGUGUUUGUCAGCGCAAAGUAUAGGCCGACGAGAGCGAGUGUUGAGUAUGCGGGGCGAGAUACAGACCUAGGGCAUUUGAUUGUGGAGGCCUGAGAGGAGGUCGGGAUCAAGCUUGAGUAAGUAAUCGGAAUUUUGCGAUCAGAGUAUUGGUACGUUUGAGGUACGUGAUGGGUUGUACUGCAUUAAUCCCACGGGAUUAUGUUGUGCAUGUUUCUAGAGCUGGAACCGGAAGGUUCCCAGAGUUAGAACCUGAGGGUUCGCAGAGUUUGGGUGUACGGACCCACAGAGAUAUAGCCUCGAGUGGCUAGUAUGUGUUAUGAGAGUCGGUCCAGUCAUACUGGAGACUCUGUUGGUAUUGCUGGAUUAGUUUGAGAUUUGCGGAUCGCGUAUGUUGCAGUGUGAUUGCAUUGGAAGGUCUGGCCCCGGGUUAUUGAUCUUGUUUAGCGGAGGCAGUGAUUUUGAUGAGUGGAGAGAGUGCAUGGGAUUGAGAGCCCCUGCAAUGAGAACCAGAGUAUGUGAAUAGCAGUUACGCAAAAAGGGUGGUGUCGCUUGGGGCGAGCACCGUGGCACCGGUUGGAGUGGCAUUAUGUUCAAGAGAGUUCCGUGGAAAAGGAAAAGAGGAGGGUAUGUAACUCCGAAGGGGGUGCAAGUUCACGAAAGUGAAAGCUGCAGAGCAGAGUUAUGGUUAGAGUAUUUCGAGUAUGGUUUUGAGCAUCGUGUUCGCGGCAGUGGAGUAGGAACCCAUCCGGUUGGGAUGUCUGUUGAGGCUCAGAAGGGAUGCAUGGAGAGAGAAAAUUUUAAAUUCUCAGUGUGAAUCUGAUCAGAGUGUAGGGUGGAUGUAGUGGUUCAUCUUGGGAGAUGUUCGAGGAUAUCAUCAGUGUAUCGGGUCUUUCCACCUGCGGGUGUUGGGACUAGUUCAGUAUGUGUAUGUGAUGGCAAGAGGGAACUUGUGAGAGUUGAUCUGAGAGGGAGAACGGAUCUCUCAGUCGGUCCAGAAUGGGCAAAGUGGGCUUUGGAUCGGGGAUCCGGUGGUUCAGGGUUUCCUAACCCUUAUGGGUUGAGUGAUCGUUGAGAUUUGGAGCAGAGUGCAUCUUGGGUAAUUUCCGAUUACAGAGAGUGAUGAGCAGUUCAGAGUUCGUACUUUAGUUGACAAAGCAGACUCAGCAGGUUAAAGAGAGUUAGUGAUCGUCUAGAGUUAACAGGAAAGUUAUGCAGGCAGACGCCGUUACGAGCAUGUGAUUCAGGUCAGCGACUUCGUAUUUCUGACGGGGUGCUUCGAUUUAGGAAGAGGGGUAAAUGGGGGGCCCCGGUAUGUUGGGUCUUUUCGUGAAGGUGCGAAGGUAGGAAGGGUGGCCUAUCGUUUGGAGCUGUCAACGGAAUUGGGACGGAUCCAUGACACUGGUAUGUGUCGCAGUUGAAGAGGUGUAUAGCGGAUGAGUCAGCAGUGGUUCUACUAGAGAACGAUUAGGUGGAUGCGAGCCUGUGUUACGUCGAGAGGCCAGUGGCCGUCGGAGAUCGGAAGAUCAAGGUUCUGAGGAACAAGGAGGUACCUCUGGUAUUGGUUCAGUAGCGGCCUCGGAAGAUAUCGGAAGUGUUUAGGGAAGCCGAAACGUGUGAUGCGGGAGCAGCAUCCAGAACUAUUUUCAGAGUGAGACUUCGAGGGCGAAGUCUAAUUCUAGUGGGGGAGAAUUGUAACAGCCCAAAAUCUCAAGUAUUGUUAAAUUGCAUUUUGGGGUGUUUUAAAGGGGAGACUCGGCGAGUUGGAGCCAGACUCGCCGAGUAGGGUCGCAGAUUUGGUCGCGGGUUCGCGACUGGACUCGACGAGUCCAGGUAUGGACUCGGCGAGUCGACGCUGUUCAGCAGAAACCCUAGCCGUUUCGUAUUGGGUCGUAUUUAAGGGUUGUAAUGUCGUCAUUUCACGUCUUUUGGCCGAUUGUGGAGAACCCUAGACGACUGUGGCAUCUGGAGCAAAACUUGAAGGCCAUUAUUGACUUUGAAGGAAUUGUGGUGCAAGAAGAGGAAGGAUUUUGGCCAAAGGAAGAGCAAGGGGGUCGAGUUCUGAGGUUUGGGGACACAGAGAGUAUGUUUUCAGGUAAGGUUUCGGAUCAUUCCUGUUAUUUUGAUGUGUACACGAAUUUAGGGUUUAUGAAACCCAUUUGGAGAUUUGAUGGAUUAUUAUGUUGUUAUACAAAGGUUUCUACCCUAGUAAUAGGAUGAUUAGAGGUCCAGAAGUCCCAUGAGUGUGUAUCUCGGGAAAAACGUAUCUCAGGAAGCAGUUGGAUCGACUGCAUGGCGUGGACUCGCCGAGUCGGAUGAUCAGACUCGGCGAGUAGCUUGAAGAUUCACUGGGACUCGCCGAGUUGUUCUUCAGACUCGGCGAGUGGAGUCGGGGUGGCCCCGCGAUUCUUCCAGGAGUGACUCGUCGAGUCAAAGAGGAUACUCGACGAGUAGAAGGGGAAUCUCAGAGGAUUGAAGGACGACCAGACUCGCCGAGUCGCCAGGGAACUCGCCGAGUCCAGUCGAGCUGACAUUGGACUGUUGACCAGAGUUGACUGGUGUGAUUCUUAGGGUCAGUUAACGUGGAAGAUAGAAGUAUUAAAUAAGGGAUAUAUGAUGUUACAGGGAGCUUGUAGCUCGGAGGAUCAAGUGCAAGGGAUUUUAGGAGUUGCUAUCUUCCAGUGUCCGCGAGGUGAGUCUUCUCACUAUACCUCACCCGGAAGGGUUUGAUUGUGUGACCGGAAGGUCAAGUAUGUUGUGUGUUAUGUUUAUAUGCUAUGAAUGGAAAGUUAGUUGCUACGCGUGAUAUACAUGCUUAUAUAUGGGCCGGAAGGCAAUGUAUGUGGAUCAAAAGAUCCGGGCCGGAAGGCAAUGUUAUGUGGAUCGAAAGAUCCGGGCCGGAAGGCAAUGUUACGUGGACCGAAAGGUCCGGGCCGGAGGGCGUAUGUGCGUAAGGUAUAUUGGGGAACUCACUAAGCUUCGUGCUUACGUUGUUUACGUUAUGUUGUUUCAGGUUCUUACAGUAACGUGGGAUGGCAACGGUUCGAUUGUACACACCGAAGAAAGAGUUAUGUUUUGGAGGAUCCUGGUCUUCUAUUAUAAUGAAAAAGAAACUAUGUUUUGGAAAUUCGAAUGUAAAUAAGAUUUUAAGCAAGUGUUUUUAAUAUUAAAUUGAUUAUUUAAAUGAAAAUUUUGUUUUUGGAAAUCCUGGUGUUACAAUCCAUACAGACGGAUUACGCGGGGCAUACUUCAACGUACGCUAAGGGUACAGGCAGAAUGGUGAGUACGCGGUGCGUACAUCAGUUUACGCGGGGCGUAAACUCGCUGAACUCAAAGUCCCCAUAAGUCCAUAAUGGCUUAAGCUCUUAAGCCCACACUUCAGAUCUAUCGACCAAACAUGCCUAGGAUCCAUAAAGUCUCAAACUUUAUCACUUGGGACGUCCAAAAAAGCUCUUAAUCCAAGGUAUUAAUCCAUUAAGACCUAUCUAUAUCACAUAUGAGACAACCAAAGCCCUUGGGACCUCAUUUUUCUUAGUCAAGACCUCUCCUAAGGUCUAAAAGGACAGCUAAUCUCAGCCAACUCGAAUCAUGCAGCAAGAUGAGGUUUUUGGGACAAGAAUGGUGUCAAAACUUCACAACACAUAGAUCUACACAAUAUGAUUGUCAAU